This 449-nucleotide ribosomal RNA is filed under the name uncultured bacterium. RNAcentral describes it as "bacterial SSU rRNA". It matches the Rfam family "Bacterial small subunit ribosomal RNA", at positions 30 to 507 of the family's 1533-position model. The record is from RNAcentral.
AUUGAACGCUGGCGGCAGGCCUAACACAUGCAAGUCGAGCGGUAACAUUUCUAGCUUGCUAGAAGAUGACGAGCGGCAGACGGGUGAGUAACGCGUGGGAACCUUCCCAGUGGUACGGAAUAGCCCAGGGAAACUUGGGGUAAUACCGUAUAAGCCCUUCGGGGGAAAGAUUUAUCGCCAUUGGAUGGGCCCGCGUCGGAUUAGCUUGUUGGUGAGGUAAAAGCUCACCAAGGCGACGAUCCGUAGCUGGUCUGAGAGGAUGAUCAGCCACACUGGGACUGAGACACGGCCCAGACUCCCACGGGAGGCAGCAGUGGGGAAUAUUGGACAAUGGGCGCAAGCCUGAUCCAGCCAUGCCGCGUGAGUGACGAAGGCCUUAGGGUUGUAAAGCUCUUUUGGCGGGGACGAUAAUGACGGUACCCGCAGAAUAAGCUCCGGCUAACUUCGUG